UUGUAGGUACCACUACAAUAUUUCUGAUGAUGGAUUAGCGCAACAUAUACUUAUAAGUUCAGUCCCUCCUCGAAUAUUUGACUUUACCAAUGGAUGCAACCACUGGUUUGGCUUCUGAAGUAUACUACAUGUGAUUACUUCACAAGGGUGUAUUAAAUCACUGCAUGUGUCUGCCUUGAUUCCAGCACAAGAAAAGCACAUUGCUGACGGAGUUGAUGGCAUCUGGGUCUCACAGAGUCAAAUUCCGAUGAACAGGCCACGAACAAGGCUUGGACUCUUGGUGUAUUUGGGUCCCUGCACUUGUGGUCGGUAGGCAUCAUCUCGUGACACUGCU
This is a long non-coding RNA of Lolium perenne, 334 nucleotides long. RefSeq lists it as uncharacterized. The record is from RefSeq and is a predicted model, not a curated record. Lineage: Eukaryota; Viridiplantae; Streptophyta; Magnoliopsida; Poales; Poaceae.